Molecule: ribosomal RNA, 253 nt
Filed under: uncultured bacterium
Lineage: Bacteria
Description: partial 16S ribosomal RNA
Rfam family: Bacterial small subunit ribosomal RNA
Source: RNAcentral
GACAGAGGGGGCAAGCGUUGCUCGGAAUCACUGGGCGUAAAGGGCGCGUAGGCGGGUCCGCAAGUCGAUCGUGAAAUCCUUCGGCUCAACUGAAGGGGGUCGGUCGAUACUGCGGGUCUUGAGGGAUGCAGAGGAGACUGGAAUUCCCGGUGUAGCGGUGAAAUGUGUAGAGAUCAUGAGGAAGACCAGUGGCGAAGGCGGGUCUCUGGACAGUUCCUGACACUGAGACACGAAGGCCAGGGGAGCAAACGGG